This 253-nucleotide ribosomal RNA is filed under the name uncultured bacterium. Its description in RNAcentral is "partial 16S ribosomal RNA". It matches the Rfam family "Bacterial small subunit ribosomal RNA", at positions 524 to 776 of the family's 1533-position model. The record is from RNAcentral.
UACGAAGGGGGCUAGCGUUGUUCGGAAUUACUGGGCGUAAAGCGUGCGCAGGCGGUUCGCCAAGUCAGGUGUGAAAUCCCCGGGCUUAACCUGGGAAUUGCGCUUGAAACUAGCGGGCUUGAGUGCGGCAGAGGGGGGUGGAAUUCCACGUGUAGCAGUGAAAUGCGUAGAGAUGUGGAGGAACACCGAUGGCGAAGGCAGCCCCCUGGGUCGACACUGACGCUCAUGCACGAAAGCGUGGGGAGCAAACAGG